Rhopilema esculentum is the source of this 2801-nucleotide long non-coding RNA. RefSeq lists it as uncharacterized. Lineage: Eukaryota; Metazoa; Cnidaria; Scyphozoa; Rhizostomeae; Rhizostomatidae. The record is from RefSeq and is a predicted model, not a curated record.
GAAUAUUUUGUUCCUGUUGUUGUUUUAUCGGAAUCAUGUGUAGUGUAGUAAUUUGAAGGCGAAAAACUGAUUGCAAAAAGGCCGGAAUCUUCCUUGCUUUAAAACUCAUAGUUCUGAUUUAAAAGUGUUUAUAUUUGAUGCCAGAAUCAUUGCUCUAAGGGCUAUAGAACAGAAGUUAUGAGAAUUUUGAAUUUCAAGAUCGAAGCCGUUCAAUCAAGUUGUAAACCAUUGAAAGGUGGAAUAGACAGUGAAAUCAUUUCGUUAUGAAUUAACUGAAGUGUGCCCAGAGGAUGAUAUCAAGUAAUUUUCGUCACAAAUGAGUCAAUGACGACUCGACCAGAUGCAAGUGUUAAAAAUCGUGGAUCGAUCUCUGUGGAUGACAAUGCUCGGAAGAGGAGGAAAUGUUGCUGACGCCAUCAUGAGUUGUAAAUUCCUUCUUUUGAAGAAAGCAGAGUAUGUAAAAGAUUGUCGAAAGGUGAAGAUCUGCCAAAACCCACCAUCUUCGACCAACUGCCUGGCGUUGGAGUCAUUUAAAGGUGGACUUUCGAAUGGAAAUAAUCCCAGAAAGUUUUUAUUAAAAGUACACCAUUAUGCUUCAACUUAAAAUACAAUACUCCAAUUUGAUUAGGCUCCACUGGCCAGGUUCGGCAAAUGGUUUCAACACGAGAUCAUGAGAUUCGUUCGAGUAUGCUUUUUUCUUUGAUGCCUAGACUUCGUUAGCAUUGAUGUAGAUUGCUGCAUAGUAAAUUUGUCACGUGGAAUAAAAUGUGCCAGUCAAUCCCUGCAACAUGAUACAUAAAGAAGCAUUGAAACAAAGGAGCACCACACGUACGUUCCAUAAAGUGAUAGAAAUGCAGAUGCAUGUAUGGCUAUUAAAGCUCCAAGGGAACACUCUCCAUUUUGAAUCGUUAUACCCCUCCCUUUGCUCCCACAUUUCAAUUUCUCCCGACGCCCCCGGGUGGGUACGUGUCAUCUGCUGUAGAUAUAUUCUGCAACUUUUAUACUGCCUCCUGUUUCUUUGAAUGCGUCUAUCCACAUGAUUCCGACUAAGGUGUCAGUACAAGAAUUCUGUCUUGGAAGAUUGCUGAAUUUAAAAUAAGUCUUACUCAAAGAUUGGAUUUUAAUUUAUGUUUGCUGCGCUGUCUGUCAUAAUCACAUAAUUUGUUCUUGCAAAUAUUGUAAAUUUUAAAUCGUUUCCAAUUUAGUUAAAAAUUUUAUUUAUAGGGUAAUCCCCUCUCCCUUGCCUGACAGCAUCAUUAGCCGAGCAAAUGCUGCGAUAAAGGUGAAGAGCGUGUUGCUGUCAACCCCCUAGUGCACCCCUAGAUCCAGAAAGGCACCUUUUAUCAACAUGAAUACAUUCCUUUUAUAAAUUUCAAAAAAUUUUCCACGACAUUGGGUAUUCAAAGCUUCUUAAAUUUUCAUUUUUUUGGCGGUGGAUGGAAAACAUCAAAACUGUGAAUUGACUUUUAUUCAAUUUUCUGUGCAAAAGUCGAUUAAUAGCAUUCCACGUUAUACGCUGAUAUACUAGCUGAGAUUUAAGGAUUUUCACAAACUGAAGCAGUGCAUAUAAUCGUCUUUUUUAACAGUACAUGGCAAGAUUUUUUCCCAAUAUAAAUAUUACAGCAGAUUGUAAAAUCUAGAUUAGUUGGAAUUUAUCAGCCAGCACUGGGAGUUCAGUUUAAAAAAGGUGUCUAAUUCUGCAAAAACUCCCCAAUGUUGACGCAGCAAGAAGCCAGGAGCUCAUAGGAAAUAUCGAGCGGAGACACAACACACUCAAAAACAUGAAUAAUAUGAUUAUAGAGAUGGAAGCCCGUAUCUUAUAUGAAAGGUGCUUUCAUUUCAAGAUUGCUAUUGUAAAAAAAACAAGGUACUACACGUUUUUUUUAUAAGAAAGCAUUUCACAAGAAAGUUGUGUUCGGUUCUUCAAAACGUUAAGAAAGGGCUGAAUCUUUGAAACCUAAGAAAGUUGACAAAUUUAGAUAUUCAAAGUUUCAAAGGAAAUUGCUGUGCAAGAGUGAAAUAUUUCAACAAACAGUAAUGUGCUGAACAGGAAACGACGAAUACAGUAUGACGUUGAGGGUUUUUGAGAAAAAUAGCAUAUUUAUAGCAUUUCAUCUUUUCCAUCACUGCGCAUGCCUAGUAGCGUAAAAGUUUCCAAUUUUACGUUAAGAAAGUGUUCAGUAAGUUUUAGUGCUGAAAUAAGGAAAAAGCUAAGAAAGUCUGAGGGGUAGGCUGAAAAAAACUUUCUUUUAAAAAUACGUGUACGGCUAUUGUCAAAAAAAAACAAGGCACUACAGAAAUUUUCCCCAGUUGAAGGAAGUUAUGGGAAAUUGGACAAUUUUCGAUAAAGAUCCCAUCACUGUGUUGUCAAUUUUUAAAGACAGAAUUGCUUGAUAUUUUUAUUGUUAUCAUGAUUGAGUUAUUUGAUGUUCGCAUACUGGAAUCCCGAAGUAGUUUUAAGACAUACUUUAACGCUCCCUUUUCCCUACCUAGGUAAUUGAGCUGUUCCACCAACCCUUCCUUACUGUAAGAAAAUCAAAGGUAAAUGCGAGAAUCUGCAAGCAUUAAGAUUCCAUAUUUAGCUAAGAAUUACUUUCAAAAAAAGAAAUAAGCCUUCCAAAAGAUGUUUUCUAGAUAAACGUCUUGCCAAUUAAAUUGUAACCGAAAUUCAGCAUUGCUCAAAAAACAAGCGUUAUCUUCCAAUAACGCUCAGGAUACAAGCUUCCAAACAAUCAUUCGACGAUUUAAAUCAUUGGGAGUCAUAUUCUGCUUUAAAGAAACCUUCUCAUUUUGUCACAAAA